RNAcentral lists this ribosomal RNA (254 nucleotides) under uncultured bacterium. Its description in RNAcentral is "partial 16S ribosomal RNA". It matches the Rfam family "Bacterial small subunit ribosomal RNA", at positions 524 to 776 of the family's 1533-position model. The record is from RNAcentral.
UACGUAGGCAGCGAGCGUUGUUCGGAGUUACUGGGCGUAAAGGGUGUGUAGGCGGUUGUUUAAGUUUGGUGUGAAAUCUCCCGGCUCAACUGGGAGGGUGCGCCGAAUACUGAAUGACUUCGAGUACGGGAGAGGUGAGUGGAAUUCCUGGUGUAGCGGUGAAAUGCGUAGAUAUCGCUUGGAACGCCGAAGGUGAAAACAGGUUGCUGGGGUUGUGCCGACGCUGAGACACGAAAGCCAGGGGAGCAAACGGG